AACGAACGCUGGCGGCAUGCCUAAAACAUGCAAGUCGAACGAGACCUUCGGGUGAGUGGCAGACGGGUGAGUAACGCGUGGGAAUCUACCCAGUUCUGCGGAACAACAGUUGGAAACGACUGCUAAUACAGCAUAUGUCCUACGGGGGAAAGAUUUAUCAGAAUUGGAUGAGCCCGCGUUGGAUUAGCUAGUUGGUGAGGUAAUGGCUCACCAAGGCGACGAUCCAUAGCUGGUUUGAGAGGAUGAUCAGCCACACUGGGACUGAGACACGGCCCAGACUCCUACGGGAGGCAGCAGUGGGGAAUCUUGCGCAAUGGGCGAAAGCCUGACUCAGCCAUGCCGCGUGAAUGAUGAAGGUCUUAGGAUUGUAAAAUUCUUUCACCGGGGACGAUAAUGACGGUACCCGGAGAAGAAGCCCCGGCUAACUUCGUGCCAGCCGCCGCAGUAA
Molecule: ribosomal RNA, 448 nt
Filed under: uncultured bacterium
Lineage: Bacteria
Description: partial 16S ribosomal RNA
Rfam family: Bacterial small subunit ribosomal RNA
Source: RNAcentral